CGUAGGAAAUUUGAGAGGAGCUGUCCUUAGUACGAGAGGACCGGGAUGGACUGACCUCUGGUGUACCAGUUGUUCCGCCAGGAGCAUAGCUGGGUAGCUAAGUCGGGAAGGGAUAAACGCUGAAGGCAUCUAAGCGUGAAGCCCACCUCAAGAUAAGAUUUCCCAUAGAGUAAUCUAGUAAGAUCCCUUGAAGAACACAAGGUUGAUAGGUGAGAGGUGUAAGUGUGGUAACAUAUUUAGCUGACUCAUACUAAUAGAUCGA
Molecule: ribosomal RNA, 262 nt
Organism: Clostridium intestinale
Lineage: Bacteria; Bacillati; Bacillota; Clostridia; Eubacteriales; Clostridiaceae
Rfam family: Bacterial large subunit ribosomal RNA
Source: Rfam